This 1506-nucleotide ribosomal RNA is filed under the name Salmonella enterica subsp. enterica serovar Infantis. RNAcentral's name for it is "partial 23S ribosomal RNA". It matches the Rfam family "Bacterial large subunit ribosomal RNA", at positions 379 to 1913 of the family's 2925-position model. Lineage: Bacteria; Pseudomonadati; Pseudomonadota; Gammaproteobacteria; Enterobacterales; Enterobacteriaceae. The record is from RNAcentral.
AUGAAAACAAUAGGCAGCAGCAGGAUCCAGAGUACCGCGAGACACGAGAAACCUUGCGGGAAGUCGGGGGGACCACCCCCCAAGGCUAAAUACUCCUUAGUGACCGAUAGCGCAUAGUACUGUGAAGGAAAGGUGAAAAGGACCCCGGGAGGGGAGUGAAAAAGAACCUGAAACCCUGUGUUUACAAGCUGUGGAAGCACGUUAAGGUGCGACCGCGUACUUUUUGUAGAACGGUCCGGCGAGUUGCGGAUGCUGGCAAGGUUAAGCACUUAAGGUGCGGAGCCGAAGAGAAAUCAAGUCUUAAUAGGGCGUCAAGUCAGCAUGUGCAGACCCGAAACCGGGUGACCUAUCCAUGUCCAGGUUGAAGUUCCCGUAAAAGGGAAUGGAGGACCGAACGCACAUCCGUUGAAAAGGGUGGCGAUGAGGUGUGGAUAGGGGAGAAAUUCCAAUCGAACCCGGAGAUAGCUGGUUCUCCUCGAAAUAGCUUUAGGGCUAGCCUCGUAUUAGUCUGCUGGAGGUAGAGCACUGAAUUUCCUAGGGGGCGUCAAAGUCUACCGAAGAAUAUCAAACUCCGAAUGCCAGACAGAUGAUGUACGGGAGUCAGACUGCACGAGAUAAGUUGGGUAGUCAAAAGGGAAAGAGCCCAGACCUACAGCUAAGGUCCCAAAGUGUGUGUUAAGUGGAAAAGGAUGUGGGAUUUCAAAGACAACUAGGAUGUUGGCUCAGAAGCAGCCACACAUUCAAAGAGUGCGUAAUAGCUCACUAGUCGAGAGGUCCUGCGCCGAAAAUGUCCGGGGCUAAAACACAACACCGAAGCUUAGGAAUCAUAUUCAUAUGAUUGGUAGAGGAGCAUUCUAUACGGAGCGAAGCAGUACCGGCAAGGAGCUGUGGACUGUAUAGAAGAGAGAAUGCCGGAAUGAGUAGCGAGAUGGAGGUGGGAAUCCUCCAGGCCGAAUAUCUAAGGUUUCCAGAGUAAAGCUGAUCUGCUCUGGGUAAGUCGGGGCCUAAGGCGAGGCUGAAAAGCGUAGUCGAUGGACAACAGGUUGAAAUUCCUGUACUGCAUAUCAUCAGAACUGUGGGGACACAGAACCGAAGUCAAACCCGGGAAUGAAAAGACCGGGGCAAGCGUAGGACUGGUUAGGCUGGCAAAUCCGCUUAACAACAGGAGGACGUGACGCGUAGCGAACAUUAGUAGCGAAGUUGGCGUAGGGGCUGUCAAGAAAAGCCGCUAUUGCGUGAUAUGUACCCGUACCGUAAACCGACACAGGUGGAUGAGGAGAGAAUCCUAAGGCCGGCGGGAGAAGCAUUGUUAAGGAACUCGGCAAAAUGACCCUGUAACUUCGGGAUAAAGGGUGCCCACGAGAGUGGGCCGCAGAGAAUAGGCUCAAGCAACUGUUUAGCAAAAACACAGGUCUAUGCAAAACCGUAAGGUGAGGUAUAUGGGCUGACGCCUGCCCGGUGCUGGAAGGUUACGAGGAGAGGUUAGCGCAAGCGAAGCUUUGAAUC